AUUGAACGCUGGCGGCAUGCUUUACACAUGCAAGUCGGACGAGUGGCGAACGGGUGAGUAACGCAUCGGAACGUACCGAGUAAUGGGGGAUAACUGUCCGAAAGGACAGCUAAUACCGCAUAUUAUUCGCGCGGCCGAUGUCUGAUGAGCUGGUUGGCGGGGUAAAGGCCCACCAAGGCGACGAUCAGUAGCGGGUCUGAGAGGAUGAACGGCCACAUUGGGACUGAGACACGGCCCAGACUCCUACGGGAGGCAGCAGUGGGGAAUCUUCCGCAAUGGACGAAAGUCUGACGGAGCAACGCCGCGUGAGUGAUGACGGCCUUCGGGUUGUAAAGGACUUUUGUCAGGGAAGCGGUACCUGAAGAAUAAGCACCGGCUAACUACGUGCCAGCAGCCGCGGUAAUAC
This 406-nucleotide ribosomal RNA is filed under the name uncultured bacterium. RNAcentral's name for it is "partial 16S ribosomal RNA". It matches the Rfam family "Bacterial small subunit ribosomal RNA", at positions 30 to 526 of the family's 1533-position model. The record is from RNAcentral.